GUCUACGGCCAUGCUACCCUGAACAAGCCUGAUCCCGUCUGAUCUCAGAAGCUAAGCAGGGUUGGGCCUGGUUAGUACUUGGAUGAGAGACCACUUAGGAAGACCAGGUGCUACAGGCA
This 119-nucleotide ribosomal RNA is filed under the name Pteropus alecto (black flying fox). The record is from RNAcentral. Lineage: Eukaryota; Metazoa; Chordata; Mammalia; Chiroptera; Pteropodidae.